This 439-nucleotide ribosomal RNA is filed under the name uncultured bacterium. RNAcentral describes it as "partial 16S ribosomal RNA". It matches the Rfam family "Bacterial small subunit ribosomal RNA", at positions 339 to 795 of the family's 1533-position model. The record is from RNAcentral.
CUACGGGUUGCUGCAGUGGGGAAUAUUGCACAAUGGAGGAAACUCUGAUGCAGCGACGCCACGUGAGUGAAGAAGUAUUUCGGUAUGUAAAGCUCUAUCAGCAGGGAAGAUAGUGACGGUACCUGACUAAGAAGCACCGGCUAAAUACGUGCCAGCAGCCGCGGUAAUACGUAUGGUGCAAGUGUUAUCCGGAUUUACUGGGUGUAAAGGGAGUGUAGGUGGCAUGGCAAGUCAGAAGUGAAAGCCCAGGGCUCAACCCUGGGACUGCUUUUGAAACUGCCGAGCUAGAGUGCAGGAGAGGUAAGUGGAAUUCCUAGUGUAGCGGUGAAAUGCGUAGAUAUUAGGAGGAACACCAGCGGCGAAGGCGGCUUACUGGACUGUAACUGACACUGAGGCUCGAAAGCGUGGGGAGCAAACAGGAUUAGAUACCCGUGUAGUC